AUUCCGGUUGAUCCCGCCGGAGACUACUACUAUCAGGAUUCGGCUUAGCCAUGCGAGGUACUUGUAGCAAUACAAACCGUACUGCUCAGUAACACGUAGUCAACCUGCCCUAUAGACGGGGAUAAUCCUGGGAAACUGGGCGUAAUACCCGAUAGGCGAUAAUUGCUGGAAGGCUUUUUCGCUUAAAGCAGCAAUGUGCUAUAGGAUGGGACUGCGACGGAUUAGCUUGUUGUUGAGGUAAUUGCUCAACAAGGCUAUAAUCCGUACGGGUCGUGAGAGCGAUUGCCCGGAGAUGGCUUCUGAGACAUGAAGCCAGGCCCUACGGGGCGCAGCAGGCGCGAAAACUUCGCAAUGCCCGAAAGGGUGACGAGGGAAUCCUGAGUGAUAUCGCAAUGCGGUAUCUUUUACUUACUGUAAAAAGGUAAGCGAAUAAGAGGUGGGUAAGACGGUUGCCAGCCGCCGCGGUAAUUCGAAGAAUCGUAACAAACAUUCUUCUGGCAGUUUUAUUUGAUUAUGAAAAUAGUCAAAUGAUUCUUGAAUAAGCAAUGACGCAUUUAUGCGUCGUACGACACGGGUUCUUCGAACCGUAAAUAACCGCGCCUCAAGUUGUAGUCACGUUUAUUGGGCCUAAAGCGUCCGUAGCUGGUUUGAUAAGUCUUUGGUGAAAUCCAACAGCAAACUGUUGGGAUGGCUGGAGAUACUAUCAGACUCGAGACCGGGAGAGGUCAGGGGUAUUUCACGGGUAAGAGUAAAAUCUUUUAAUCCGUGAAGGACCACCUGUGGCGAAGGCGCCUGACUGGAACGGGUCUGACAGUGAGGGACGAAAGCGUGGGGAGCAACCGGGAUUAGAUAUUGAGAAAUUCCGAUUGGGAGAUUUUCGAAUUUCUCAAUUUAGUGAAAAAUGGAAUUUUUCAACUAAAUACCCCGUUAGUCCACGCUGUAAACGAUGCCCAUUUGGUGUCACACAAUCUUCGAGAUUCUGUGGUGCCGUAGCGAAGGUGUUAAAUGGGCCGCCUGGGGAGUACGACCGCAAGGUUGAAACUUAAGGGAAUUGGCGGGGGAGCACUACCAGGGGUGGAGGCUGCGGUUUAAUUGGAUUCAACGCCAGGAACCUUACCCGUGAAGACAGCAGAAUGAGGGUCACUCUAAAGGGGUUACCUGACAAGCUGAGAAGUGCUGCAUGGCCGUCGUCAGUUCGUGCUGUGAAGUGUCGUGUUAAGUCACGAAACGAACGAGACCCGUGCCGCUAGUUGCUACUAUCCUCCCCGGAGGGUAGGCACUCUAGCGGGACCGCUGUUGCUAAAACAGAGGAAGGAGCGGGCUACGGCAGGUCAGUAUGGCCUGAAUUUACGGGGAUACACGCGGCCUACAAUGCGUAGGACAACGGGAUGCAACGCCGUAAGGCGAAGCCAAUCUCUUAAACCUACGCUUAGUUCGGAUCGAGGGCUGCAACUCGCCCUCGUGAAGCCGGAAUCCCUAGUAAGCGAAGGUCAUCAACGGAGCAAGUGCAAGAUGAUUUUUUGGCGAGACGAACAGAGUGUCAGAACGGUUUGACUAUGAGGAAAUUCUUGUUGACGCAGGAAUUUCCGGUGAAUAUAGACUGGGCGGAUGACACUUUAAUUUGUCUAUAGCAGCACUAUGAUGCAUUUGCUUCAGUGGAAUCUUUCGCUGAAUACGUCCCUGCUCCUUGCACACACCGCCCGUCAAACCAUCCGAGUGGACUUUUGGUGAAGCUCGCGUAGAGCGAUUUGAAUCACAAGUCUGCAAGGAGGGUUAAGUCGUAACUUUAAAAGUCGACUAAGACAAGUAUUAUCAUGAAUGAGCACAUCGCGUAUCUACAUGGUGCGCUUCAUGAUGGCUACGUGUAUAGAGGCAAGCAAAAAGGUGAAGUUGCCGUCAUUACCCAGAAAAACAGGGAAUGGCUGGAACGCUUACGCCAGAUAAUUGCCGUAUUGGAGUCCAAUUCGUGGAUUUUUCAACAAAGAAAUAUACAUGUUUUGGAAACGAAACUUCCUGAACUUCUGAAACCGAUCGAUGUUUCGACACUCAAUAGAAAGCAAGGAUUGGCGUAUGUUGCAGGAUUUUUUGAUGCAGAAGGAGGCAUUCCCCAUGACAUCAAAAAGUUCUUCUACGUACAGUUCGUCCAGAAGAAAAAGGAAAAGCUGGACGAGAUUGUGGCAAUUCUUGAAAAAUCUGGAAUAAGGUGUGGCAAAGUUCACCAGUAUGACAAGAAGACUGGUUGCUGGAGAUUUUUUAUAAGCAGAGAAUCUCAUCUGAGAUUCAUUAAGUUGAUAAAAUCCAAGCAUCCUGAGAAACAAACACGCUUGCUCUCUUUUCAACGGCUUUUAGAGCGACAAACAAGGUAACCGUACGGGAACGUGCGGUUGGAUCACCUCC
Molecule: ribosomal RNA, 2397 nt
Filed under: archaeon GW2011_AR5
Lineage: Archaea
Also listed under: 1 other name
Description: bacterial SSU rRNA
Rfam family: Archaeal small subunit ribosomal RNA (bases 1-1811)
Source: RNAcentral